This 520-nucleotide ribosomal RNA is filed under the name uncultured bacterium. RNAcentral's name for it is "bacterial SSU rRNA". It matches the Rfam family "Bacterial small subunit ribosomal RNA", at positions 992 to 1509 of the family's 1533-position model. The record is from RNAcentral.
AGAACUUAGCAGAGAUGCUUUGGUGGCCUUCGGGGAACUCUGAGACAGGUGCUGCAUGGCUGUCGUCAGCUCGUGUUGUGAAAUGUUGGGUUAAGUCCCGCAACGAGCGCAACCCUUAUCCUUUGUUGCCAGCGGGUUAUGCCGGGAACUCAAAGGAGACUGCCAGUGAUAAACUGGAGGAAGGUGGGGAUGACGUCAAGUCAUCAUGGCCCUUACGAGUAGGGCUACACACGUGCUACAAUGGCGCAUACAAAGAGAAGCGACCUCGCGAGAGCAAGCGGACCUCAUAAAGUGCGUCGUAGUCCGGAUUGGAGCCUGCAACUCGACUCCAUGAAGUCGGAAUCGCUAGUAAUCGUAGAUCAGAAUGCUACGGUGAAUACGUUCCCGGGCCUUGUACACACCGCCCGUCACACCAUGGGAGUGGGUUGCAAAAGAAGUAGGUAGCUUAACCUUCGGGAGGGCGCUUACCACUUUGUGAUUCAUGACUGGGGUGAAGUCGUAACAAGGUAGGCGUAGUGCU